This 253-nucleotide ribosomal RNA is filed under the name uncultured bacterium. Its description in RNAcentral is "partial 16S ribosomal RNA". It matches the Rfam family "Bacterial small subunit ribosomal RNA", at positions 524 to 776 of the family's 1533-position model. The record is from RNAcentral.
UACAGAGGGUGCGAGCGUUGUCCGGAAUCACUGGGCGUAAAGGGCGCGUAGGUGGCGCUGCAAGUCGGUGGUGAAAGCUCGAUGCUUAACAUCGAGUCGGCCAUCGAAACUGCAGGGCUCGAGCACUGUAGGGGCAGAUGGAAUUCCGGGUGUAGCGGUGGAAUGCGUAGAGAUCCGGAAGAACACCGGUGGCGAAGGCGGUCUGCUGGGCAGUUGCUGACACUGAGGCGCGACAGCGUGGGGAGCAAACAGG